AUUUUUUUUACCCCUAAAUGCCGUGCAGUCAGAUAGACAGGCUUUUGGUUCACUCUCCUGCGCCAGAGUUGGCCUCGCCCCUCGGGACCCGCCGGGCGCCGUGUCCCUCCCGGAGGUCCGGAUCGGCCGUUUGUCGGCCAUUCGUUUUGUUUCAAAGUUUGUCAAGUCUACCCUUCCCGCGACUUCAUUCGUCUUUGAAUUUUUUUCCGUCAAGCCGUGGGCAUGAAGUCCUCCAAGCCACGGUUUUUCCUUUCCCCUCGGUUCGUGCACUCAGGAGGCCGUUCAAAGACGAGUGGCACCGUGCGGAUACUGGGUCCUAUUCUUCCUUGUGAAACACUGCGUUUUAAGUGAAGAAGAGCGCGUUCUGUAGGAAUGCGUGUGGUUUCGUAUCGGGUCAUCUUUUUAUGUCGACAUGCAUGUAAAAUCACCCCUGCCACCAGUGAGUCCGCUUGUGGGUGUGUGCAGAAACGAGAACCCAUUUGAGCUGUCAUGUAUGCUGAUCGGUUCUUGCUUGUUGUCAAGAUAUCGCUGUCGCGGCUAGGCGGAACCCUUCCUCAAGAGGUCCCGCAGCAGAGUUCUUUUUUGCGGACUGAACGGAUGUGUGGUGCUGUGAGUAUCGAUUGAAGCUCGUCUCUUUCCCGUAAGCGGUCCGAUUGUUCCCCGUUUUUUUCAGAUCGACGCCUUGACACCUUUUAGGCCGUUGGGAGUCGCACUGUUGUGUGGCGUUCGACGCGCCGUCACUUGUGACGGACCUCUGGACAACAUUUCCAUGUAUAUAUUAGGUAUAGGUAAAACAGACUUCCUCGGCUUUCCCGCUACAACUUUGUUUCCAGUAUUCUUUUCACCGUUUCUCCUCGAAACCGAGUUUUCUCUUCAGGUUCUAGGUUGCGCGCCACUUUGCAAUCUGUUGUG
This 912-nucleotide long non-coding RNA is filed under the name Toxoplasma gondii VEG. The record is from RNAcentral. Lineage: Eukaryota; Apicomplexa; Conoidasida; Eucoccidiorida; Sarcocystidae.